CAAGUUUGUAACAAAAUAUAUUCUAGGCAACUUUUCAGACAUUGUUUUAUAGCAUCAUAAACCCUAUACCACUGCUGUCAUUCCAAAAGCUGCCAGGACACUGGAAGUCAUCAAGUGGUCCAGCCCAGGAAUACAGGUAGAAUUCACAUGAUAGGUGAUAAGAAAGCAAUGUCUGUGGGCCACUCUGAUCCCUCUUUUUACCUUGGUAGGUAAGGUAUGUACUGAGUCCUAUUAGUCAGUGAAAAAGAUUAAAGUGACAAGUUAUGUGCUUUGUUCCUAUAGCUUUGAAGUUCAUCCACCUCACCAGCAAUUGGAAGGUCUCAGGUCUUGCAGGCUCCACCCAUGUGUAAUCCUGGGGCAGGUGUGAAUCUUGAUUUUUUUAAAGAGAUUACUCAAGGGAGAGAACAACAGAAACCGAAGCCAUGAGUACUGCCCCAAUUCUAGAUUAGGUUAGAGGUUAGAAUAAAUUAACUAAUGGGGAGUGGUAGUGGGUAGCAGUCAGACCCAGGAGACAGAUUUGUGUGUGGUUUCCUGAUCUCAGCAAGGUCUAAGGAAAAAAGCCUCCCCGCCCCCCACCUUAAAUAGUGGCAUCAAGUCAUGAAGGCCAGUGAAACGUGGUUAGUCUCGUAAAAUGACUUCCAGUUCUUCCAGGUCCUUCUGGAUAGCCAAA
RNAcentral lists this long non-coding RNA (670 nucleotides) under Pan troglodytes (chimpanzee). Its description in RNAcentral is "long non-coding RNA NONPTRT005296". The record is from RNAcentral. Lineage: Eukaryota; Metazoa; Chordata; Mammalia; Primates; Hominidae.